AACGAACGCUGGCGGCAGGCUUAACACAUGCAAGUCGAACGAAGUCUUCGGACUUAGUGGCGCACGGGGUGAGUAACACGUGGGAAUAUACCUCUUGGUGGGGAAUAACAUCGGGAAACUGAUGCUAAUACCGCAUACGCCCUUCGGGGAAAGAUUAUCGCCGAGAGAUUAGCCCGCGUCCGAUUAGCUAGUUGGUGAGGUAAUGGCUCACCAAGGCGACGAUCGGUAGCUGGUCUGAGAGGAUGAUCAGCCACACUGGGACUGAGACACGGCCCAGACUCCUACGGGAGGCAGCAGUGGGGAAUAUUGGACAAUGGGCGAAAGCCUGGAUCCAGCCAUGCCGCGUGAGUGAUGAAGGCCUUAGGUGUAAGCUCUUUCACCCACGACGAUGAUGACGGUAGUGGGAGAAG
This 410-nucleotide ribosomal RNA is filed under the name uncultured bacterium. RNAcentral's name for it is "bacterial SSU rRNA". It matches the Rfam family "Bacterial small subunit ribosomal RNA", at positions 29 to 487 of the family's 1533-position model. The record is from RNAcentral.